CAUACGCUUGUUGAGGGCAGAUGAGAUGAAUGUGUGAGUCGAAGCCUCCUGCUGUGACGAUGUGGUGUUCGCCGGCGACGACGUCUGUUCCGUUGCCAACAAUCAUGUUGGAGUCAACGCCGUCCAUGACAUCUGGGUUUCCAGCCUUGCCGAUUCCCACGAUAACUCCGUUUUUGAUACCAAUGUCUGCUUUGUAGAUACCGGUCCAAUCGACAAUCAGGGCGUUGGUGACAACCGUAUCGAGCACAUCUGAGUCUUUGCGGUCAGAAGCUUGACCCAUUCCUUCACGCAG
Molecule: small RNA, 292 nt
Filed under: Rhinocladiella mackenziei CBS 650.93
Lineage: Eukaryota; Fungi; Ascomycota; Eurotiomycetes; Chaetothyriales; Herpotrichiellaceae
Description: 5' ureB small RNA
Rfam family: 5' ureB small RNA
Source: Rfam by way of RNAcentral